AGUGAACGCUGGCGGUAGGCCUAACACAUGCAAGUCGAACGGCAGCGCAGUAAGAGCUUGCUCUUACGGGUGGCGGGUGGCGGACGGGUGAGGAAUACAUCGGAAUCUACUUUUUCGUGGGGGAUAACGUAGGGAAACUUACGCUAAUACCGCAUACGACCUACGGGUGAAAGCAGGGGAUCUUCGGACCUUGCGCGAUUGAAUGAGCCGAUGUCGGAUUAGCUAGUUGGCGGGGUAAAGGCCCACCAAGGCGACGAUCCGUAGCUGGUCUGAGAGGAUGAUCAGCCACACUGGAACUGAGACACGGUCCAGACUCCUACGGGAGGCAGUAGUGGGGAAUAUUGGACAAUGGGCGCAAGCCUGAUCCAGCCAUACCGCGUGGGUGAAGAAGGCCUUCAGGUUGUAAAGCCCUUUUGUUGGGAAAGAAAAGCAGCAGGUUAAUACCCCGCUGUUCUGACGGUACCCAAAGAAUAAGCACCGGCUAACUUCGUG
This 492-nucleotide ribosomal RNA is filed under the name uncultured bacterium. Its description in RNAcentral is "partial 16S ribosomal RNA". It matches the Rfam family "Bacterial small subunit ribosomal RNA", at positions 29 to 507 of the family's 1533-position model. The record is from RNAcentral.